CCUACGGGUGGCAGCAGUGAGGAAUAUUGGUCAAUGGUCGAGAGACUGAACCAGCCAAGCAGCGUGAGGGAGGAAGGUACAGAGGGUCGUAAACCUCUUUUGUAAGGGAAUAAAGCGAGGCACGUGUGCCUGGAUGCGUGUACUUGAUGAAUAAGGAUCGGCUAACUCCGUGCCAGCAGCCGCGGUAAUACGGAGGAUGCGAGCGUUAUCCGGAUUUAUUGGGUUUAAAGGGUGCGUAGAUGGGUUGUUAAGUCAGUGGGGAAAGUUUGCGGCUCAACCGUGAAACUGCAAUUGAUACUGGCAGUCUUGAGUACAGUUGAGGUAGGCGGAAUGCGUGGUGUAGCGGUGAAAUGCUUAGAUAUCACGAAGAACCCCGAUUGCGAAGGCAGCUUACUAACCUGUGACUGACAUUGAUGCUCGAAAGUGUGGGUAUCAAACAGGAUUAGAUACCCGAGUAGUC
This 460-nucleotide ribosomal RNA is filed under the name uncultured bacterium. RNAcentral's name for it is "partial 16S ribosomal RNA". It matches the Rfam family "Bacterial small subunit ribosomal RNA", at positions 338 to 795 of the family's 1533-position model. The record is from RNAcentral.